UCCCAGACGUCGCGCACCAUUCUGGUUUUCAUUAAAAAUAAUUAAAGCAUUUUAUUUUAUUAUAUUUUUUCUGCAAGUUUUAUUGUAGAGGGUGCUCAAUUUGAGCCUUUGUUACGAUUAAUUUUAAUAAAGUGUUUUUGAAAUCAAUAAGGGUGUAUUCUUGUAAAAAAACCAGGAUGGUGCACAACUUCUGGGACACCCUGUAUAUAUUAUGUACGUGUAUUUCUCUA
Long non-coding RNA from Octopus sinensis (East Asian common octopus), 230 nucleotides. RefSeq lists it as uncharacterized. The record is from RefSeq and is a predicted model, not a curated record. NCBI's taxonomy places the organism in Eukaryota, Metazoa, Mollusca, Cephalopoda, Octopoda, Octopodidae. The transcript is spliced from 3 exons.